This is a long non-coding RNA of Cavia porcellus (domestic guinea pig), 523 nucleotides long. RefSeq lists it as uncharacterized. The record is from RefSeq and is a predicted model, not a curated record. The transcript has 2 exons. Lineage: Eukaryota; Metazoa; Chordata; Mammalia; Rodentia; Caviidae.
CUUACGUCAGCGGUGGUGCCACUAAACUUGCUAGCUGCCCAAAUUGUGUUUCUUCAUAACAGUAGGUACACGGAACCGAAGACCUGGCAGUUGUAUGGGUAUUUAGUAGACUGAAUAUUGCGAGUGUCAAGAGGAUCGCAUUGCGGGAAAGGACCUUAACGUUUCACCCUCAGAAGAUUGACACUUUGAGGAGGAAGAGCAGAAUACGGGUCUUGGCGAGAAGUAAUUGCUGGCUCUAAAUCUUGUCAGCACAUUUUAUUGGACCUGUGUUCGAGGCUACGCCACUCAGCCUUAUCACAAUGUGUUAAUUCCCUCGGACCUUAUCCAAAAAAUACUAUUGCCAAUAGGAUCUAGUUCUUGACUAUAAAUCUAUACCUCCGACAUUGUGUUAGCGCUUUUUUUUUUUAAUUCUAUUACCAAGCCAAAUUGUACUCCUAAUGUUAUAGUCCCUUAGAUUCUCUGAAACAUCUUUUCGGUUUCCUUUCUUUAUUCCAUUAUAAUUAAAUGACUUAAGAGAUCUGAA